ACUCCUACGGGAGGCAGCAGUGGGGAAUAUUGCACAAUGGGGGAAACCCUGAUGCAGCCAUGCCGCGUGUGUGAAGAAGGCCUUCGGGUUGUAAAGCACUUUCAGUAGGGAGGAAGGUAGUGUAGUUAACACCUGCAUAUUUGAUCGUGAUCCUACAGAAGAAGCACCGGCUAACUCCGUGCCAGCAGCCGCGGUAAUACGGAGGGUGCGAGCGUUAAUCGGAAUUACU
Molecule: ribosomal RNA, 229 nt
Filed under: uncultured bacterium
Lineage: Bacteria
Description: partial 16S ribosomal RNA
Rfam family: Bacterial small subunit ribosomal RNA
Source: RNAcentral